Dendrobium catenatum is the source of this 346-nucleotide long non-coding RNA. RefSeq lists it as uncharacterized. Lineage: Eukaryota; Viridiplantae; Streptophyta; Magnoliopsida; Asparagales; Orchidaceae. The transcript has 2 exons. The record is from RefSeq and is a predicted model, not a curated record.
AUUCCGGUAGGGGCGCUACGGGCGGAGCCAUCGGGUCGUAGCCCCCGGUGCUGGGUGAUCGGGACGAUUUGGAUGGGCCUGAUGAUGAUUUUCAGGCGACGUAUAAUUUGAAUAUCAACCGCAUAGUUGAAAAAGCUUUUGCUAUGGGUGGAAGUAAACAUCGUAGAAGGAAGCUAAAAAGGAAAUAGUUUGGUUUAUUUUCUUCAGUUGUUGGUUCGUUUUUGUCUGCUCAAUGUCUUGUUAUUUUAUUUGUUGGUUGUGGACUUGUCCUUAUGUGUGUUUGCCAUAUUGAAUUCUCUUUGAACCGUAUGUGGGCUAAUGGCUGGGAGGUGGCUUUAGUGGUCUA